ACACGUAAGUUGCGAGCGUUGUUCGGAAUUAUUGGGCGUAAAGGGCAUGUAGGCGGUUCUGCCAGUCUGGUGUGAAAUGCCGGGGCUCAACCCCGGAACUGCGUUGGAAACUGCGGAACUGGAGUCGCUGAGGGGCAGCCAGAAUUCCAGGUGUAGGGGUGAAAUCUGUUGAUAUCUGGAAGAAUACCAAUGGCGAAGGCAGGCUGCCAGCAGAUGACUGUCGAUGAGGUGCGAAGGUGCGGGGAGCAGACAGGAUUAGAUGCCCUGGUAGGCCGCAGAUUCAACUAUGUACACUGGGUUUACGUGCAUGAGCAUGGGUGCCGAAGCAAACGCGAUAAGUGUACCGCCUGGGGAGUAUGCCCGCAAGGGUGAAGCUCAAAUGAGUUGGCGGGG
RNAcentral lists this ribosomal RNA (393 nucleotides) under uncultured bacterium. Its description in RNAcentral is "partial 16S ribosomal RNA". It matches the Rfam family "Bacterial small subunit ribosomal RNA", at positions 523 to 918 of the family's 1533-position model. The record is from RNAcentral.